RNAcentral lists this ribosomal RNA (174 nucleotides) under uncultured bacterium. RNAcentral's name for it is "partial 16S ribosomal RNA". It matches the Rfam family "Bacterial small subunit ribosomal RNA", at positions 1320 to 1500 of the family's 1533-position model. The record is from RNAcentral.
AUGAAGCUGGAUUCGCUAGUAAUCGCGCAUCAGCCAUGGCGCGGUGAAUACGUUCCCGGGCCUUGUAUACACCGCCCGUCAAGCCAUGGGAGUCGGGAGUGCCUGAAGUUCGUGACCGUUUAGGAGCGACUUAGGGCAAGACUGAUGACUGGGGCUAAGUCGUAACAAGGUAUC